CUCCAGUUGAUCGCAUGGUCUUCUGGGAAAGCUUUCGCGGUAUGGGAUGGGGUCGCGUCCUAUCAGCUUGACGGCGGGGUAACGGCCCACCGCGGCUUCGACGGGUAGCCGGCCUGAGAGGGCGACCGGCCACAUUGGGACUGAGAUACGGCCCAGACUCCUACGGGAGGCAGCAGUGGGGAAUAUUGCACAAUGGGCGCAAGCCUGAUGCAGCGACGCCGCGUGAGGGAUGGAGGCCUUCGGGUUGUAAACCUCUUUUAUCGGGGAGCAAGCGAGAGUGAGUUUACCCGUUGAAUAAGCACCGGCUAACUACGUGCCAGCAGCCGCGGUAAUACGUAGGGUGCAAGCGUUAUCCGGAAUUAUUGGGCGUAAAGGGCUCGUAGGCGGUUCGUCGCGUCCGGUGUGAAAGUCCAUCGCUUAACGGUGGAUCCGCGCCGGGUACGGGCGGG
Molecule: ribosomal RNA, 449 nt
Filed under: uncultured Bifidobacterium sp.
Lineage: Bacteria; Bacillati; Actinomycetota; Actinomycetes; Bifidobacteriales; Bifidobacteriaceae
Description: bacterial SSU rRNA
Rfam family: Bacterial small subunit ribosomal RNA
Source: RNAcentral